GUGGCUCAAAUAGUUAAGCACUUGGCUGCUAACCAGAAAGUUGGUGGUUCAAACCCACCC
Molecule: transfer RNA, 60 nt
Filed under: Loxodonta africana (African savanna elephant)
Lineage: Eukaryota; Metazoa; Chordata; Mammalia; Proboscidea; Elephantidae
Rfam family: tRNA
About the family: Transfer RNA (tRNA) molecules are approximately 80 nucleotides in length. Their secondary structure includes four short double-helical elements and three loops (D, anti-codon, and T loops). Further hydrogen bonds mediate the characteristic L-shaped molecular structure. tRNAs have two regions of fundamental functional importance: the anti-codon, which is responsible for specific mRNA codon recognition, and the 3' end, to which the tRNAs corresponding amino acid is attached (by aminoacyl-tRNA synthetases). tRNAs cope with the degeneracy of the genetic code in two manners: having more than one tRNA (with a specific anti-codon) for a particular amino acid; and 'wobble' base-pairing, i.e. permitting non-standard base-pairing at the 3rd anti-codon position.
Source: Rfam by way of RNAcentral